CACGCGGUUCACGAGGUGGCCUUCACGAUCAUUUUAUUAUUAGAUUUCGACCGGAAUAUUUCUAAUAGCUCCAAGUAUUUAGAACUAUCGACUUUUUCACCAUUAAAUUUAUCCUUUAUACUAAUUUUAUCUCUUACGUAAACUAACAUUUACUAAAUCCAAGUGGGCCACUAUAUAUUAUUCUAAUCUCUCAAUCCCUUAAUCUGAAAGUUACAAACUAACGAACACAAUAAUUUAGUCAUAUUAGAAAUAUUCCAUCCUAAUUUUUAUUAUAGAGUUAAUUGCAUACACAUCCUUGCAAACAUAGUGAAAUGCACAUAUAUUCUCAACUUUCAUAUGUUAUUCUUGCAAAAGUCCUAAUAUAUUCAAAUAUGUCCCUCUGGUUAGGAUCCGUUAGAAAACUAUUUAUUUUUUAACAGUAGAUUCAUGAAAUGAUAUUUUUGCCCUCUUCCCCUUUCUCUUCCUUUUCGGGCUGCGGGAGCAGACGGUAGCGGCGACGGCGACGUCGCGGAGCUUGUCGGAUCGGCGGCACCAACGGGAGGUACGUCGCCCCGUACGCCCCGAUCGCGCACAGCAUCUCCCCGAUCUGA
RNAcentral lists this long non-coding RNA (590 nucleotides) under Ananas comosus (pineapple). Its description in RNAcentral is "long non-coding RNA (ACOM_LNC040268)". Lineage: Eukaryota; Viridiplantae; Streptophyta; Magnoliopsida; Poales; Bromeliaceae. The record is from RNAcentral.